UUUCCGUAGGUGAACCUGCGGAAGGAUCAUUAACACGUUCCAAAACGUAUCAACCAAACGGUUAAGUGCAAAACUUAUUCCCUAAGAGAGGGAGCUGGACAAAUGUCUUUAGUGAUGGGUGGGUCUUCGGACUCGCAAAGACAGUUGGACCAGGGUCUCGAGCCCAAAGCUCCUUUUUUUAGGCUUUCCCCCCCCCUUUUUCCAUCACUUCUCCUUUACCCUUUUCCCCCCUCUGAACCUUAUGACUAAAUCCUUCGAACGAAGAAAUUUGUUUGGAAUUGUAUAUCUAACACUGUACAACUCUUAGCAAUGGAUAUCUUGGUUCUC
Molecule: unclassified non-coding RNA, 327 nt
Filed under: plant metagenome
Description: partial contains small subunit ribosomal RNA, internal transcribed spacer 1, and 5.8S ribosomal RNA
Source: RNAcentral